This 221-nucleotide unclassified non-coding RNA is filed under the name Hevea brasiliensis (rubber tree). The record is from RNAcentral. Lineage: Eukaryota; Viridiplantae; Streptophyta; Magnoliopsida; Malpighiales; Euphorbiaceae.
GCUGAAUCUUCAAGGCUUCCAAUAAAGUGGUUUUUCCAACUCCUGCUUCUCCACAAAUCCCGAUUCUGCUUAUAUUUGAAUUUCCAAUUCUCCUCAUGAUUUUGCUCAGAAUAUGAUAAACCUUCAUUAGCCUUGAAGAAGAUAUUACAUUUUGAGCUGUAGCCUCAAGUGACAUCUCAGAUAGCACAGCAGCCUGCUCCAGAGCAGAGUAAUGACUUUUU